Molecule: non-coding RNA, 3329 nt
Organism: Podarcis lilfordi (Lilford's wall lizard)
Lineage: Eukaryota; Metazoa; Chordata; Lepidosauria; Squamata; Lacertidae
Source: the annotation of a GenBank genome assembly
GAGCAAGCACAUUUGCAAAAGGGGGGGCGCCCCUGGAGAAUUGGAUGCUAGGGGGUCUCUUUAAGCAGCAGGAAUAGCUUCCCCAAAAGUUAACAAGUAAAACGGAAUUGAUGGGGGAGAAUGCAUUAUUAUCCUGUGGAGUAAUGCAAUAAUGAUGAUGAUGAUGAUGAUGAUGAUGAUAAUAAUAAUAACAACAACUGAUGGGAAAUAGGAGUAAAUGGGUUGUUUGUUUUUCACCCAAAACAAAAACCUGUCUGGGUUCCGCUUGCUAGGUAUCGGCAUCACUCGGUUUGCCACAGGGAUUGCACAGGGUCUCAGCACAGGCCCUCUGAGCAACUCAGGGAAAGGUGCUUUCUGGCAUAAAGAAAAUGCAGCUUUGCUCUUCCGCAGCUGUCUCGGGCCUUUGCAGUGCUGACAGAAGCAGAAACGAGGAAGGAGAAAAACUUGUUUGUGUCGAAAGAAAGGGGGAGAGAAGUUACAGCCUGGAGCAGAUGGGACCUGGAAGAUGUGCUCCGCAAAACGUCGCUUCCGUAGAACGCAUCUCGCAGUCGAUAGUUUUGUUUUAAUGCAAGCUCAAAAAAUGUGUGCCCUCUCUUCUCUGGGCCAUCCGGUGCGUGGUUUAUAGACCUGAACCAAAACUUGAACUUGGUUUAUUCCCAUGGUUUAGGAGCAUAAUCUGGAGGCAUCAUUUUGGCUGUCUCUGGUUUAGAGACUUCAGACAUAUGCUUUCAGCAUCAACUGAUGACUUGUUUGUCUUUGCAAGCCCAUAUUUAAAACCAUGGAUUGAACAUCGAUAUCCCCUGUGUGAUCGGGUUAAAAGGCCCAUCUAGGCCAGCAUCCACUUACAGAGGCCAACCGGAUGCCUACGGGAAGCCCACAUCAAGCAUACAUUAUUUUCGUCCUUGUCUGCUCACACAUUAAUGCUCACUGGUUGAUGCGUCAGCAAGUGAUGAGGCCAAUCAGUUCGGUUUCAAGCCAUAUAGGCAUGGAGAAACUGUCUUUCAGUCCCAACACAGCCAUGGGUUUAUUUCAUGGAUUUGAACCUGUCUCCCAGUCUCAGCCUUGUUUUGAUGUAAAAUGGGAAUCAUGAUCUACUUCAGAGUGGUAGCAUGGGGACUAAUUAUAUGAGCCAUCAAUUAGAUGCUGCCUGUAAGAUCAUUUAGAACACCUAGGGAAAUUCUGCUUGUGGCACCGCACCCCACAGAAUAUCAUAGGGUAGUGACCCCAGAACAUUCAUUUUCUGCUGUUGCCUCUGUACUAUGGAUCGCCCUUCCCUUUGCCAUAAAUGAAGCUGCAACUAUUACUUGCUUCAGGUGUCUAGUAAAGGCUUGUUUUUUUGCCUAGGCUUUCCCUGACCCUUAAGAUCAAAAUGAUGUAUUUUAUGUGUUUGAAUCUUCUGGGGGGUUUUUUGUUCACUUUUAUCAGUUUUUGUACCAUUGCUUUAUUAUUUUAGGUUGUUGUUUUUAAUGGGCAUUGGUUUUAUAUUGCACAUAGUAUAUACUAAAAUAGUAAGAGGUUUGGAAAUCCUUUUAAAUCACCAAACAUCUUCUUGUCAUAAGCUUAAGGAAAUACCUGGUUUUUCAAUAUAAACAAAUAAUCAGGACUUCAUUAUCGAGGUCCCUAGAAAAUGUGGACCCAUUAAUAUUUCUGUUAAACUAUGUAAACUAUGUUAUCCCAGUGAAAUAUUUUGAAGCAGACCUAUAUUAUUUAACUCCCAUGCCUUUGAGAAAUAUUAGCAAUCACAUUUGGAAACAUAACAAAAAAAAAGGGUUUUGUAAGAGUAUGGGCAACAGCAAAGUGCCACGUUAUCGAGACUUGGGGAAACUAUGUCAAAAUUACAAACUGUUAAGGGUUACAAUAAUGCAUUGUAUCAUGCAAAAAUAUUAAUUUGAUGAUAAGUGUUUACUAUGGGCCCAUGUGAUGUAAUCCUAAAUUCCUGAGCUGCUGUUUGUUUAUUGGAUUCUAUGAGUUGUCUCAUACUGUAAGACUUUUUCUGCUGAUCACAGCGAUGACAACAACAACGUGUUUCAGUACUAGGUCAAUACCUGUCUUAUCCAAAUUUCUCCAUCUCCACAAUGUGUUUUAAGUUCCCACAAUGAGGUUAUUUAGCUAAUUAGACUUUUGCGAUGAAUAGCAAGCUGGAAGGUUCAGUGACGCUUCUGAAACAAAACGUCUCCCUUCCACGUAAAAGGUAAAGGGACCCCUGACCAUUAGGUCCAGUCAUGGCCGACUCUGGGGUUGCGGCACUCAUCUCGCUUUACUGGCCGAGGGAGCUGACAUACAGCUUCUGGGUCAUGUGGCCAGCAGGACUAAGCCACUUCUGGUGAACCAGAGCAGCGCACGGAAACGCUGUUUACCUUCCCGCCAGAAUGGUACCUAUUUAUCUACUUGCACUUUGACGUGCUUUCGAACUGCUAGGUUGGCAGGAGCAGGGACCGAGCAACAGGAGCUCACCCUGUCGCGGGGAUUCGAACCGCCUACCUUCUGAUUGGCAAGUCCUGGGCUCUGUAGUUUAACCCACAGCGCCACCCCUUCCACUUAACGUAUUGUUAUUUCUGAACCCUACUUUUUCCAAGCACCCAGCACAUUCUCUCGCACCCACUAAGACAUUCCCAUUCCCAAAUUCUGUGCUGGGGAACUCAGAGAUGCAAGAGGAGUAAAAAAAUGUGACUCGAAAAACUAAGCUGGCUUGUCAUAAUUCACUCACAGCAGUACAAUCGUUGGAAAAACUAGGCCUGAUUCCCUCCCUAGCCUCUUGCCAGUAUAUGGGGAGUGUCACUUGGAUUUCCAGUGCAACUGAAAGGCGUGAGAGAAUCUCCGAAGCAUCUCACCUGCCCAGAAAGCACUGCCUCAUCCCUGAGCCUUGACUGAUUAGUAAGGAGAAGACAACUUUCCCCUAGUAGCAAGGAUGAAGAGAGAGGGUUGAGGAAAAUCUGCGUGCAUCUUUCUGAGCGUAGGCAUGCCUCAAAUUUUCCUCCAUAUUUUAAAAAGAUGCCCCAAGUAUCAAAAGCUUGGGAAACACAGCGGACAGAAAUCUUGCUUGCCGAAAUCUCUGUGCUGCGGAAAGCGUAUGGGGCGAGGGUCGGCUGAUCUGUGCGGGAGAUCAGUCGCGCUGUUGCUGUUCCUACAGUGGUGCUGAAGUUGACUCUGCUCUGCUGAAAUAAUGUGUUGAAAGGGGAGAGGUGGUCCACUUCCUAAACUGCUUGGUGGAGUCAGAAUCUCUCUCUUUCUCCCUCCAGAUCUUCAGCUGCUGGGCCGUAAGCAAAGAGGCUGCCAUUGUGCAGGCCUCAAAAGCUGCAAGGAAGGCCAUUGCAGACAUCUCGGAUCGC